This is a long non-coding RNA of Vigna unguiculata (cowpea), 922 nucleotides long. The record is from RefSeq and is a predicted model, not a curated record. Lineage: Eukaryota; Viridiplantae; Streptophyta; Magnoliopsida; Fabales; Fabaceae.
CUUGAUUGAAAACAUGUCUUCUUCAAUGUUCUCUUUCCUUAUCUCACUAUGGAAUUGUCAUUAUCUAUUCUUCAACUACUUUUUCAAUACCUAAACCGAUUCUUCUCCAACUUGUCUCCUACCAUAGCCAAAAACUCUCUCUCUCUUUCUCUCUCUGGUUUCUUCCUUCUUCCGGUUAAAACACCUUUUAAUAUUCACUCACUGUUCUCUUCAACUCCUCACUCCUGUUUUUGUGAGAAGGCCAUCAACAACUUGUGUCAAGAGAGUCUGAAUGAAGUGGUGGACAUGUUGAAGAGUUUAUUGACAGAAGAUAGAGAGCACAGCUGAACAUACCCAAAAGGUUUUGUGUGUGUGCAGUUUUGUGCUCUCUGAUCUUCUGCCAAUGUACUCAGUUUCUCACCAACUCUUGUUAGUUUCAUGAUUUCAUAUGAGAAUUGAAUACCCUUUGGUUUGAUUUUCUUGAACAUGCAAAUUUCUCAGGGAGAAGACUCAGGUUAGUGCUUGCUUCUAUACUUUAACAUCUAUACACAUAUAUCUGUGUUUGUGCUGCAACUGUGCCACUGCAUUAAUUCGAAAGCACACGUUAAAGAAGGUAUCAGAAAACACUCAAAAUUUGUCUUUGCUUUCAACAGUUUCUUGCUUCAAUCGAUGGCUGCAUGAUGAUUUGUAGUUUAGUUAACUGUGUUUAUAUAUAAACUAUGAAGUAUUCAUUCAACACAGCUAGCACUGAGAAAGGAAAAGCACAUUUUCACAUUCAGCAGUUGACUUGACUGAGUCAGAUAUGCUUUGUGAGUGGUUACAGUGACUUGGAGUUUAUCUACAUAACUAUAUCUUUUAAUUACAUUGAUAAGAGUUUGAACUUUACAUUAAUCUCUUAACUUGAUCUUAAUAUGUCUCAAAAAAGGUGAAUUAGAUUACCCAG